This 497-nucleotide ribosomal RNA is filed under the name uncultured bacterium. RNAcentral describes it as "partial 16S ribosomal RNA". It matches the Rfam family "Bacterial small subunit ribosomal RNA", at positions 28 to 507 of the family's 1533-position model. The record is from RNAcentral.
GAUGAACGCUGGCGGCGUGCCUAAUACAUGCAAGUCGAGCGAACAGACGAGGAGCUUGCUCCUCUGACGUUAGCGGCGGACGGGUGAGUAACACGUGGAUAACCUACCUAUAAGACUGGGAUAACUUCGGGAAACCGGAGCUAAUACCGGAUAAUAUAUUGAACCGCAUGGUUCAAUAGUGAAAGACGGUUUUGCUGUCACUUAUAGAUGGAUCCGCGUCGCAUUAGCUAGUUGGUAAGGUAACGGCUUACCAAGGCAACGAUGCGUAGCCGACCUGAGAGGGUGUUCGGCCACACUGGAACUGAGACACGGUCCAGACUCCUACGGGAGGCAGCAGUAGGGAAUCUUCCGCAAUGGGCGAAAGCCUGACGGAGCAACGCCGCGUGAGUGAUGAAGGUCUUCGGAUCGUAAAACUCUGUUAUUAGGGAAGAACAAAUGUGUAAGUAACUAUGCACGUCUUGACGGUACCUAAUCAGAAAGCCACGGCUAACUACGUG